RNAcentral lists this ribosomal RNA (252 nucleotides) under uncultured bacterium. RNAcentral describes it as "partial 16S ribosomal RNA". It matches the Rfam family "Bacterial small subunit ribosomal RNA", at positions 524 to 776 of the family's 1533-position model. The record is from RNAcentral.
UACGGAGGAUGCGAGCGUUAUCCGGAUUUAUUGGGUUUAAAGGGUGCGUAGGCGGAUUUUUAAGUCAGCGGUAAAAUGUCCGGGCUCAACCCGGGCCGGCCGUUGAAACUGGGGAUCUUGAGUGGGCGAGAAGUAUGCGGAAUGCGUGGUGUAGCGGUGAAAUGCAUAGAUAUCACGCAGAACCCCGAUUGCGAAGGCAGCAUACCGGCGCCCUACUGACGCUGAGGCACGAAAGCGUGGGUAUCGAACAGG